This is a long non-coding RNA of Zea mays, 578 nucleotides long. RefSeq lists it as uncharacterized. The transcript has 3 exons. The record is from RefSeq and is a predicted model, not a curated record. NCBI's taxonomy places the organism in Eukaryota, Viridiplantae, Streptophyta, Magnoliopsida, Poales, Poaceae.
AUUUUUUAUGUUGGGCAGAUAAUUGUUAUGGGUGCUCCAUCUAUCAUUUUCAUUGAUGAAAAUGAUUCAAUUGCACCCAAGAGAGAAAAGACCAAUGGAGAAGUAGAACGUCGUAUUGUUUCACAGCUACUGGCUCUUAUGGAUGGACUCAAAUCUCGUUCCCAUGUUAUUGUUAUGGGUGCUACAAACCGGCCAAACAACAUCGAUCCUGCUCUUAGAAGAUUUGGAAGGUUUGACCAAGUAAUUGACAUUGGAGUUCCUGAUGAAGUUGGCCGGCUUGAGGUUUCCGUAUUCACACUAAGAACAUGAAGCUAGCUGAAGAUGUUAAUUUGGAACUCAUUUCAAAGGAUACCCAUGGAUACGUUGGUGCUGAUCUUGCUGCCCUUUGCACUGAGGCUGCUCUUCAUUGAAUUCGUGAGAAGAUGGACAUCAUAGAUCUUGAGGAUGAUACAAUAGAUGCAGAGAUAUUGAACUCGAUGGUUGUUACAAAUGACCAUUUCAAGACUGCGCUUGGAACAAGCAACCCAUCUGCUCUCCGUGAAACUGUUGUUGAAGUCCCAAAUGUCUCUUGGGAUAGA